RNAcentral lists this ribosomal RNA (378 nucleotides) under uncultured bacterium. RNAcentral describes it as "partial 16S ribosomal RNA". It matches the Rfam family "Bacterial small subunit ribosomal RNA", at positions 338 to 733 of the family's 1533-position model. The record is from RNAcentral.
CCUACGGGAGGCUGCAGUGGGGGAUAUUGCACAAUGGGGGGAACCCUGAUGCAGCGACGCCGCGUGGGUGAAGAAGCGCCUCGGCGCGUAAAGCCCUGUCAGCAGGGAAGAAAAUUACGGUACCUGAAGAAGAAGCCCCUGCUAACUCCUUGCCAGCAGCCGCCGUAAUACGUAGGGGGCAAGCGUUAUCCGGAUUUACUGGGUGUAAAGGCGGCGGAGACGGCGAUGCAAGCCAGGAGUGAAAGCCCGGGGGCCAACCCCGGGACUGCUCUUGGGACUGCGUGGCUGGAGUGCAGGAGGGGCAGGCGGAAUUCCUGGUGUAGCGGUGAAAUGCGUAGAUAUAAGGAGGAACACCGGUGGCGAAGGCGGCUUGCUGGA